Molecule: ribosomal RNA, 339 nt
Filed under: Triticum aestivum (bread wheat)
Lineage: Eukaryota; Viridiplantae; Streptophyta; Magnoliopsida; Poales; Poaceae
Description: partial small subunit ribosomal RNA
Source: RNAcentral
UUCGCUCGAGCAGUCUGGGCCAUGGUCCAAGUUGCUUCGAAUUUAUACCCACCACUUAGUGCACAGAAUAUAUUCGGUAACUGGUUGCGGGGUAUUGAUAAACAAUUUUCUGCACAUAUUCUUGUGGGAACGGCAGCCUUAUGCUGGGCAUUGUGGCUUACCAGGAAUGAUGUGGUUUUUAAUAAUAAAUGUGUCUCAUCCCCUACGCAGGUUAUUCAUGUUUGUACACGAUGGCUCCGUACGUGGUCUAUCCUGCAGAAGCCGGAGGAUAUGCACCUUUUUAUGAUGGCGCCUACACGGCUGGAGCGUACGGCGAGGGAGGUUUUCUACCCCCAUUGA